RNAcentral lists this transfer RNA (74 nucleotides) under Monostroma nitidum. Its description in RNAcentral is "tRNA-Arg". It matches the Rfam family "tRNA". From Rfam's summary of the family: Transfer RNA (tRNA) molecules are approximately 80 nucleotides in length. Their secondary structure includes four short double-helical elements and three loops (D, anti-codon, and T loops). Further hydrogen bonds mediate the characteristic L-shaped molecular structure. tRNAs have two regions of fundamental functional importance: the anti-codon, which is responsible for specific mRNA codon recognition, and the 3' end, to which the tRNAs corresponding amino acid is attached (by aminoacyl-tRNA synthetases). tRNAs cope with the degeneracy of the genetic code in two manners: having more than one tRNA (with a specific anti-codon) for a particular amino acid; and 'wobble' base-pairing, i.e. permitting non-standard base-pairing at the 3rd anti-codon position. RNAcentral also lists the same sequence under 1 other name. Lineage: Eukaryota; Viridiplantae; Chlorophyta; Ulvophyceae; Ulvales; Monostromataceae. The record is from RNAcentral.
GUGUUCUUAGCUUAAUUGGAUAGAGCGCCGAGCUUCGAACUCGGAGGUUAUUAGUUCGAGUCUAAUAGAGCAUU